ACUCCUACGGGAGGCAGCAGUGAGGAAUAUUGGACAAUGGGCGCAAGCCUGAUCCAGCCAUGCCGCGUGCAGGAUGACGGUCCUAUGGAUUGUAAACUGCUUUUAUACGAGAAGAAACACUCCGACGUGUCGGAGCUUGACGGUAUCGUAAGAAUAAGGAUCGGCUAACUCCGUGCCAGCAGCCGCGGUAAUACGGAGGAUCCAAGCGUUAUCCGGAAUCAUUGGGUUUAAAGGGUCCGUAGGCGGUUUAAUAAGUCAGUGGUGAAAGCCCAUCGCUCAACGGUGGAACGGCCAUUGAUACUGCUAGACUUGAAUUAUUAGGAAGUAACUAGAAUAUGUAGUGUAGCGGUGAAAUGCUUAGAGAUUACAUGGAAUACCAAUUGCGAAGGCAGGUUACUACUAAUGGAUUGACGCUGAUGGACGAAAGCGUGGGUAGCGAACAGGAUUAGAUACCCUGGUAGUC
RNAcentral lists this ribosomal RNA (463 nucleotides) under uncultured bacterium. RNAcentral's name for it is "bacterial SSU rRNA". It matches the Rfam family "Bacterial small subunit ribosomal RNA", at positions 335 to 795 of the family's 1533-position model. The record is from RNAcentral.